This 1559-nucleotide long non-coding RNA is filed under the name Equus caballus (horse). RNAcentral describes it as "lncRNA (ENSECAG00000048338.1)". The record is from RNAcentral. Lineage: Eukaryota; Metazoa; Chordata; Mammalia; Perissodactyla; Equidae.
GGAAUUCAUAGUCAAAUGGCUAAACAGAUAAUAAACAUACAAUUACAAUACAGGGUGAUAAAGUGAUAGUUUUUGGUACAGAAUGCUGGAGAAGGGUCUCAAAGGGACGCUUACUCAUGAGGUGGGUGGGACGGUGUUGUAAGACCUCCUGAAUGUGAUGAUGUCCAAAUGCAGGACAGCUUUAUGAGGGUAGGGUGCUAUGGAGCGUAUACUUCUCUAGAUAUUUAUAAGUGCUUGUAUUUGUAUGAAAUAAAAGCAAGAAGCCAUGCUAACAACAAAGUGACACCAAAUAUUGCCGUGGCUGACACCAGAGCCUCAACCCUUGGCUCUGUUUCAGGAGCUCCAGUAAUCAAAAGAUAAGUAUGCUGAAUGAGGCUUUGGGGAGGUCUGAGGAGGAAGGAAGACAACAUUCUCAAGUUUGCAAGUGACCCAAACUGCCUGAGAAAUUUGGGGAGCACCAUGAAGUAUGAUCAGCACAGCCUAAAAGAUGUACAAAUAUUUGAAUAAUGGUUCAGCAGUCUUCCCUUUGAGGAGCCGAGAGCACUUGUGCCAGAAAAGACUCUGCUUUUACAGAUGGCCAGCCUGAGGCUAGGAUAGCCAUUUCCCCAAAUAGGGAGCAGACCAGGACUUGCAGAAACAAAACAGAUCACGCCAUUGCUGGCUUGUCUCUUUGUUCUGGUGUCGAGAUCAGGCCCCUCCCUCCACCACUGAAGAGACGGAGAGGAAAGCUAAAAAUGGCUCUGUUCAGGGGGUCACAGAAUUUGGAGUCAGCUUUGUGCCUCGGGCCGUGGUCGCGCGCCCACUGUGUUCCUCGGGAGACGCCACACGCGGUUGCAGGCGGGCGCGGGCGGGGCGCUCAGCAUGGCAAGUCUGCACGUGUAUCCAAGUUGCCGCGACUCAGCGAUGAUUUUCUGGCAGAUCUGAGCCAGGAGAGGGUUAAGAUCAAGUUAGAGGAGGUGUUUCAUAACCAGAGGUGAGUUGGGAAUUGUCUGUUCUUUGUGAAGAAUCUGUGCCCCUACUUCCCCCUCAACAAUUAAUGUAACAGUCGAGUUGUCAUUGCCGUGAGAGUCAAGGCAACGUGCCCCCCUCCUCCCUGAUUUGAGUCCCGAAUGCCUUGCCAGAAGAAUCUGACAGGCUGAAUGGGAGAGAAGAAUGUUGUCAGGGGCGCAGGAGAAAGGCGAGAGAGGUUUCAUUUAACAUCACCUUAUGGAAUCUGUUAAUCAUGCCUUAUUAAGUAGAGAGGAAACAGGUAGGGAAGGAAUUUUCAAGGGGCCUGAGAAGAAAAGGAUCUAAAAUGUCCUAACUUAAAAUCCUACAAACGUUUAAGAAAACGCUGCUACAGCAUGGCUUGAUGAGUGGUAUGCAGUUCUGUGCCCAGGAUCCAAACCCAGGAACACCAGGCCACCGAAGUGGAGUGUGCAAACUUAACCACUAUGCCACCAGGCCGGCCCCCAUGAAGAACUCUUUAACACACCUUUGGGCAUUCUUGUUGGGCUUUCUCUAUCUCUCAAAGACCUAAGGUCCAGAGUAUAUUUUGGGAAGGCUUGCUUUAUACUCAG